GCUGGAGAGGGGGAUAGCUACUCUUUGAUUUCUUCUGGAAGCCUAAACCCCCGCAGAGCUGGAGGAUGUGCGUCUUAUCAUUCGACUGGCUAAGCUUUUUAACAGUUUGGGAUCUAGCGGAGAAGACAUACUUAAAGAGCCCCCAGUGGGGAGGACAUCCAAUGAAGCACUCGCAGAGGGUGACGCAUGCAGAAAGGUGAGCUAUUGCGUUCGGAGGAAAGUGAUGGAGCUGCGCCCCGAAGUAAUUCAUGAUACCUCGGAAGAAGGGAUUGGGAGGCAAGGAGAAACCUCUAGCCACAUGGCUGAGCAGCAGAACGCGCUCCCCCUCCUUCGGCGCCUGCUCCGUCUCGCCUUCCGGCAGCCUCCAGGAUUUGUUGACGACCAUGCCAUGCUCCACGAGCUCUAGCACGUCGUUCUCCGUCACCGAGGAGGGGAGGAAAUCCCCUUGGAUCCAACCCGCCGGCAGCGCCCGCUGCCGCCGCUGAGUAGGGGCCGCCCCCUUCUUCUUCUUCUGCGACUCGAGCUUGCUGGUCUGCCCCUUCGUCAUGGCGAGGGCGACGGUUCCGCAGAGGAGGAGGGGAAGGAGGUGGAUUGAGGUGUGCAGAGAGCUGCGGGAGGAGCGAGAUUAAUGAGAGAAGGAUGAGCAGCGCAACAGGAAAUCCCGCCGGGGAGGCUUAAAUAGGCUUCCGACUGGGUCACUAACAGGUGGACCCAAGAUCUUAUCCCCCAAACCAGCCGCUGCAAGAUUAGUGGAGAAGAUAACAACGCGGUAAUCGAGGAGGCAAAACCUACUCGAUGGCGAUGUCGUCAUCCCCGCUGAGCGCGCGGCAACCGAAAUUUGAGGAUCCCGGAAAAUCCGGCGCUGUCAGUUUGACCAGUCACGUCGAAGGAUUCCGCGGAAUCACUCGGUCCCUGAUGGUUCGUUUCACUGGUAUAUUCACUCGGAUCACUGGUUGAAAGGAUAAAAUGGACCGAGGCAAACAACGCUAAAGUCACCUCCAUACCGGUCGGUUCCAUACUCCAGACAUCACUUCAUCGUUCCAACCCCGGUCCAUUCGGGGACUAAUGAUGGGGUUAUAGUCCCAGGGUAGGGUUAUAGGUCUGCCCUAUAGGUCCUGCCCAAGGACUACCCUUCAUAGAAGACAAGGCCCUUAGACAGUUCCGACUGAACUAAGGACGCCCCCAUCAUCCAAUCGGCGACGAUCCACUCGGAGCAUAUUUAACGUACCGACUAGAAUCCACUAUGUACAUCGUAACCUCCCAGGAGGGCAACGGUCAUACGUUUUCAUACACCAUUAUUAGCAUUUAAGGCUUACGUUACCUGUAACCUAGGCAUUUAUUCGCCACUAUUCCACCCUUGUCCACCGGGCCAUUAUGAAGGGCAUCGCACUCUAUAUAAGCCACCCUUCCCCACUGGUGCAAGGGUUGGCACUUGCUGUAAUCCUAUAAUCCACUCGACGCUAAGCUCCCAAGAGCACUGAGACGUAGGGCUUUUACCUCCACCGUAGAGGGGCCUGAACUCAUACAUCCUCGCCGUAGCUAAGGCUCUGCCCAUUCUUUCGUACCCCAUACUUCUACUGUCAGACUUAUACCCACGACAGCUAUCGCCAGCGAUCGAAUAUUGAUACUCAUAAAUCUAGCAAAGUCUCAAAACAUGCUUUCAUCCUGUUUUAUAUCUAAAGCAAUGAUCAAUAACAGCCUGAUACAAAUGCACGACAUCACAACACACGCACAUUAACAUACAAAUGCACGACAUCACAAAGCACCAUACAUAGGAGCUGAGCACAGCAACAUCUCCCCUAGCACGAUAAUCUACCAGGGUCCUCAAUCAUGAAACACCAGUACGAAAAGACUCAGGCGCACGCGACGAACCUCAAAGAGGUGCCUCCAGAAAGGUUACAACACCAUAGUGCCGUCACCGCCAGGAUCCAGGGAUCAAUGUUUCCCUAGGAGCAACGCGACAGACAAUUAAAACCAUGAUGACGCCUUCAAGAAGGGAACAAAAUAUUGUCGCCGCCGGUCUGCCCGAAGACAGAAGAAGUUUUCACCCUGGCCACUGCCAUCGUAUGUCACACCCUGGCCACCAGGCUGCCCACAUGACCAUUACCACCAUGCUACUCACAUGGGCCAUGGCCACCAGGCAGCACAUGAGCCACGGGCUCCGUCCAUGGGAGGAUUCUACCUAGACCGAAGAGACCUUAGAAGUAGAUGUAGUGUCAUGUUUGAAGUUACCCUUACCGGUUCGAUUUAAAUAUGAUAUGUACAAGAUACACAGAAGAUGGACGAGAACUUUUGAAACCUGGGUGUAUAUACAACUUAUACGUAAAAAAAUAGCAAUGCAACAAAAAGAAAAAAAAUCUGAAAAUAUGAAAUAAACUUAACAUCCCAUUGCACUCGUGAGAAAAAUUCCACAAAAAGAAAAUUACACUUUGAUUUCUUUUUUGAAAAGACAAAUUCUCAGUUAAAAUAAUGCGAAUAGUGACCUAUAAUACAAAAUAAAUUUUAUCUUUUUUUCCCAGAAGUCAAUGUUGGCUUUUUUUCUUGAAAAUUUAUAUACUGAGGCAAAAUAAAGUCAAGUUUAAUCUAAAAAUACUUUGAAAUUAUUUUGUUUUUUUAAUUGAUUAUUGAAAAACUCUUCAUACAGGAUGCAUAUAUACAACCAGGAAACAAAGUGUAUUUCCGCAUAAAAGAUAUGCUAUACACGUGGGUUGAAAUUAAAGCACAAAAAAUGAAUGUUGAAGCAACACUAUAAAUGUUGGGACACCAACGGGGUGGAUGUUUUUGACUGAUCAAAAUAUUGAAUUGUUUUUUGCAUUUGGAAGAAAAAUAUAUAGGUUUCAGAGGCAUUUGUAUAGCAAUUUAGAUGUUACAGAACUAAGAAGCACCAACAUAAUAGUUGGGAACGUGUGAUAGUCUGGUUUAUUAGGGAUGAUAGACUACUCAUAUCAAUAAGCCCAUUCGAAUAGAACUUUCAGGUUAAGCGUGUUCGGCUUGGAGUAGUUGUAGGAUGGGUGACCGACCGGGAAGUUGAUCCCGGGUGCGCAUGAGUGAGUACAAAGUGCGCAGAAAAGACUAGUAUUGAUAUGUGGGGCCAGUCUAGAUCCCGCAAGGAGUAACGAUCGUUGGUGGGUGUGUCCGAAGCGUUACAAGUUGGUAUCAGAGCCGACCCUCGCGGUUACAUGCAUGUUUGCGGACAGCUGUGCGGUCAUGUUGUUCAUGACAUUUGUGACACGUCGUGGCACAUGGCAUGACACAUGUACUGGACUGAAUGCACAGACGUUUGUGCCAAGAGGGAACGCUCAUAUGGCCCGACGAGGACGUUAGUUCCUCUAAGUGGUGGUGUAUGUGAUAGUCUGGCUUAUUAGGGAUGAUAGACUACCUAUAUCAAUAAGGAAUUCUUCUUUUCCGGGAGCCCAUUCGAACACAACUUCCGGGUUAAGCGUGCUUGGCUUGGAGUAAUUCCCGGAUGGGGUGACCGGCCGGAAAGUUGAUCCCGGGUGCGUAUGAGUGAGGACAAAGCAUGCAUAAAAGACUAUUAUUGAUAUGUGGGGUCAGUCUAGAUCCCGCCAGGAGUAACGACCGUCGUCAGGUGUGUCCGGAGUGUUACAUAACGGAUCUAAAUUUGGAGAUCCCGUCAGGAGUAAUGACCGCCGACGGGUGUGUCCGAGGUGUUACAUAACGGAUCUAAAUUUGGAUGAAAGCAUGGAAAUUUGAAAUCAGAUUGAAAACUCAUAUUGUUGGGCAAGAUUGGGAAUCAUAGUAAUCUUAUCUAUGAACAAAUGUAUAUUCUAUAAUAUGUCUAUAUGCAUUCGUAUGUAGUUUGUAGUAAAACCUUUAAAAAGACUUAUUGUAAGAAACGGAUAGAUCGAGUGAUAGAGAUACGCUCAAUGAAAUUAAACAAACCAAGCAUUGCAUGUGCGGGUCGGUGCACUGGCUGCCUGGAGCACUUGUAGACAUUGCAGAGAUUUGGGGUGGAUCAGGUGGUGGCGGAGAUAGUGCAUCAUAGCAAGGGAGGUCGGCGAGCUCGGGGUUGUUCUGGCCCAGCCAUAAUAGUGGUAUGUUAGCUAGUAUCAUUCACUUGGAAAAAGCAAACACGUUGAUGUAACAGAGAAUUAAAAAAGAAAGAGAGGAUCAGAAUAACAUAGAUAGAUAUGUGUUUAGGAAGGCCGAACCUUCGGUAUUCCACCUCUCGUAUCAUACUGAUGUGCUGAAUGUUGGAGAGAUUUGUAUAUAGGGGCAUGAUUCUAAUCUAGUGAUGUUCACUCUUGCUUUCACAAAAUGCAUGUCUGCCCGCUACUGGCGGACCAAGGUAGAAAAUGUUGUGUGUGUGUGUNNNNNNNNNNNNNNNNNNNNNNNNNNNNNNNNGUAAAACAUGUGUAUUUGGGGGUGCAUAAUGCUAAAAAGAUAUUUUGGGAACAUUUGUCGCAUUCUCUUCGAACGAAACGCAUUGUUUCUAUUCACCCUGUUCAUAUCUACUUCUUAAAAGGAAAGAGAUCGAUGACUAAAAACAUGCAUGUUAAAUGGUCACAUGCAUGAUUCUCUAGUGUAGUGGACUGGUACAAUACAAAUCACGUGAUAAAUGUUUCCUAGAUGCAUGACUUGCUCACACCUAUCACAUGAUUCUGUAGUGCACUUCGUUUUCAUAACAAGAGAUGUAUGGUAGUCUUAUAUAUACCUUCUGGGGCUUCUUCCUUGGGAUACAAAAUUAGGUGGGUAGGAUAUGCAUACUAUAAUCUGUUUAUAUCUUUAUCCAGCUUCAAAUCAUGUGAAAUAUUGGAGGAAAACAAAAAUGACAAGGUAAUGUUUACUUACUGUAAAUCUGUAUUGACUCUUGAUACUCAAGAUAGAUCAAGUGUUGUCGGUGGUUCGAGCUACUGUCCUCUUAGAUACUAACGUCGAAAAGCUUUUCUUAAUUCCAGACCCCAACGCUGAUGGUUGUGUGUCGCCAAUCUGGAGAGCGGAUAAUUCACAAGUUAAUGGCUACCCUUUCCCAUUGCCUACUUACAGUUUUAUGGUUUGUCAUCAUACCAAAUGCUUGCACAACAUUUUGCAAGACUGGCAACUCUGCUACGUUAUGUAGUAAUUAACCUAGUUGUAGUCUAUAGUAAUAUUAGGUAGCUAGAUCAAAGUGUCCUAGACAACGCUACGUGCGUGUCCGAGUUUAAGUCUAAACCAGUGUCUUGUACGAGUUGCAAACGAGCCUGUGUCGCGUCGUAUUGGUUGUCGACUCGGCAACACGUUGGACGCGACGAUGUUGUAUCUCUUUAUAUACCAAACCAAAAUAUGAAAACGGUGCAAGCUAUACGCACCAUCAAAUAACAGUUUCACUUUGUUUGUUUGUUUUGUUAGGCAAAGGUUCCGUCGAGUCGAUCGACUCGUUCGUAGUCAGCCGAAGCAAGGACGUAUCACCGCAAGCUAGCUAUAGGAUCCAUCUAGCUGCCUCGUUGCACGUAUGUGAAGCUUCGGGAGGAUUUUGAGGGUCCAAAAGCCAACAAUUAUCUAGAGCCUUGACGAUCUACGAUCUACGAUGACGGACAGCGACGCUGAGUCGAUCAAGUCCGGCAAAGGCAGUUCCAAGGCGAACAAAAACGGUGGCAAGGUGAAGAAGGACGGCAAGUCAGCAACCAGUGGUGGGGGAACGAGCGGCACCAACGUCCAGGCGCAUCGCAACAUCCCCAUCCAGUAUCCGAUGCUCACCGACACCAACUACGGUGUGUGGGCGGUGAAGAUGAAGAUUAUUCUCCGAUCUCUUCGAGUGUGGGAGGCCGUCACGGACGACGGCGUCGACGAGCAGCACGACGAAGCUUCCAUGGCCGCCAUAGC
This 5823-nucleotide long non-coding RNA is filed under the name Hordeum vulgare. RNAcentral's name for it is "long non-coding RNA (HVUL_LNC000015)". The record is from RNAcentral. Lineage: Eukaryota; Viridiplantae; Streptophyta; Magnoliopsida; Poales; Poaceae.